GACGAACGCUGGCGGCGUGCUUAACACAUGCAAGUCGAACGGAAAGGCCCUGCUUGCAGGGUACUCGAGUGGCGAACGGGUGAGUAACACGUGGGUGAUCUGCCCUGCACUUCGGGAUAAGCUUGGGAAACUGGGUCUAAUACCGGAUAGGAGCCAUCUUUAGUGUGGUGGUUGGAAAGUUUUUUCGGUGUAGGAUGAGCUCGCGGCCUAUCAGCUUGUUGGUGGGGUAAUGGCCUACCAAGGCGGCGACGGGUAGCCGGCCUGAGAGGGUGUACGGCCACAUUGGGACUGAGAUACGGCCCAGACUCCGACGGGAGGCAGCAGUGGGGAAUAUUGCACAAUGGGCGCAAGCCUGAUGCAGCGACGCCGCGUGGGGGAUGAAGGCCUUCGGGUUGUAAACUCCUUUCGCUAGGGACGAAGCUUUUUUGUGACGGUACCUAGAUAAGAAGCACCGGCUAACUACGUG
Molecule: ribosomal RNA, 466 nt
Filed under: uncultured bacterium
Lineage: Bacteria
Description: partial 16S ribosomal RNA
Rfam family: Bacterial small subunit ribosomal RNA
Source: RNAcentral